GGGACUGUAGCUCAGUAGUAGAGUGCUUUCCUGGCAUGUAUGAGGCACUGGGUUCAAUCCUCAGCACCA
RNAcentral lists this transfer RNA (69 nucleotides) under Ictidomys tridecemlineatus (thirteen-lined ground squirrel). Its description in RNAcentral is "Spermophilus tridecemlineatus (thirteen-lined ground squirrel) tRNA". It matches the Rfam family "tRNA". Rfam says of the family: Transfer RNA (tRNA) molecules are approximately 80 nucleotides in length. Their secondary structure includes four short double-helical elements and three loops (D, anti-codon, and T loops). Lineage: Eukaryota; Metazoa; Chordata; Mammalia; Rodentia; Sciuridae. The record is from Rfam by way of RNAcentral.